GGUCCUUCCUGCAACCUGCAAAGUCACCUGGAAGGAAGGAGUCUGAACUGAGAUGGAUUUCCAGUGUUCAUUUCCAAUCAAAAGGACUUAAAACUCUGUGUGAGAAGAGCGGUUUAAGGAGGCUGGAGGGAGCUCAGCUCAGCCGGCGGCCACGAAACAAGUGUCUCUCCAUUGUGGAGCUGCCUCGCCAGCUGCUGACAAAGGCGGAGUUUGCAGACAGAUUGAACGUACAGAGGGAUAAAAGUCGCUGGGAGACAAAUACGCACACUCAGAAUUUCCUGAGCUUCAGCUGUUUGGAAGCUCCUGUCAUGAACGCACCUCCAGCAAAGAGAAAGGAGAUGAGCGGGAAGUGGCAGCUGCAGAUAGAGGCUGGGGAGGUUUCCCCAGCGCUGGGACUCCUCUAGAACUCUCCUCCUUCAUCAUGGAAGCUUCCUUUCCAAGUAACUGGUGUGACUCGUGAAUGCAGUGCCUUUACUCCUAAAGGAGCAGGACGCUGGUGGCCUUGCUGCAGGCCGGCUCUCGAUGGCGAUUUCCCCAGAGCCCGCUGGGGGGCUAGCUUGUGCUGGCUAAUGGGGGCCAGUGCCCCUUGGGGGACCAACCCUCCGAGCCUUGGAAGCAUCUCAUGAUCUUUCCCCUUUCUGUACAGGUGGUUGGCGUCCUGUGGGCACAACCACAGGAUCUCAGAGCAGGUCCUGGGCCAAAUUGUCUUCCCGAUAAUAGGACAAGGAGAUGAACUGGGCUGAGGUCCCACUGCAGGCGUCUGUGCUGUUGGCUAACUCCUGCUGCCUAAUCCUUCAGACCCUGCUCUGCUGUCACCUCCUUGGCCUGCGCCCCACGCCUGGCUGAGAUACGGCCUCUUUGUCCUCAUCGCCCAGACUUGCCUCUCCCUCUGCUGAGCACAGCAUAUGGUCUGUCCCUGUUUCCUGUUCUGCCUCACCCAGGAGACUCGGGAGAUCCUCGAGGGGCCUCCGCAGGGUCUGUCCAAUGGAAUGAGUCUGCACCUAAGAUUAUAAAUGGCUCAAGAGCAGAGCAGGGCGGGGACGAGGGUGAACAAGUGAGGCACCCACUCUGGGACUCCCCUAAGCCAGGUAAGCAUCUGAGAGUGCCUGCUUCCCUGUAACACUUCAGCUCUUGGCCCUGGAGCCCAGAAAGGAACACAGAUUCAUUGUUAAGAACCAGCCCCAUGCAGCCACUUUGGAAAACAGUGUGAAAUUCCUAAAAAAAAAUUAAAAAUAGAGCUG
RNAcentral lists this long non-coding RNA (1241 nucleotides) under Mustela putorius furo (domestic ferret). RNAcentral's name for it is "lncRNA (ENSMPUG00000027834.1)". The record is from RNAcentral. Lineage: Eukaryota; Metazoa; Chordata; Mammalia; Carnivora; Mustelidae.